RNAcentral lists this small RNA (94 nucleotides) under Flavobacterium segetis. RNAcentral describes it as "Flavo-1 RNA". It matches the Rfam family "Flavo-1 RNA". The record is from RNAcentral. Lineage: Bacteria; Pseudomonadati; Bacteroidota; Flavobacteriia; Flavobacteriales; Flavobacteriaceae.
UAUAAACCGCGUUAGGGAUAGAAGUGGAGCUCUUUUUUUAAGACCCGAUUUUUAGGGUCUUAAAAAAAAGCGGGAACGAAUAGCCCGAUUCGCC